RNAcentral lists this unclassified non-coding RNA (228 nucleotides) under Hevea brasiliensis (rubber tree). Lineage: Eukaryota; Viridiplantae; Streptophyta; Magnoliopsida; Malpighiales; Euphorbiaceae. The record is from RNAcentral.
AAUUUGUGCCUUGAUGUGAUAUUUGCAUUUGUUGAUUUUUUUUUUCUUUGGACUUGUGAGUUGCCAUUGAUGGGAAGGUCACCUCAUGAUGCCAAACUGUCGCAUUACUCAUUCACAUAUGCAGAUAUGUUCUGCACUGAGUGCAUCUGAAUUCAGUUUGGGGCACAUUAAGUGGUUUUGGGGUAUGGAUCUGUAAAGAUUGUACUUUUUUUUUUUUUGCAAUUUCUA